Molecule: ribosomal RNA, 497 nt
Filed under: uncultured bacterium
Lineage: Bacteria
Description: partial 16S ribosomal RNA
Rfam family: Bacterial small subunit ribosomal RNA
Source: RNAcentral
GACGAACGCUGGCGGCGUGCCUAAUACAUGCAAGUUGAGCGCUGAAGGCUGGUACUUGUGCCAACUGGAUGAGCAGCGAACGGGUGAGUAACGCGUGGGGAAUCUGCCUUUGAGCGGGGGACAACAUUGGGAAACGAAUGCUAAUACCGCAUGAAAACCUGAAACACAAGUUUUAAGGUUGAAAGAUGCAAUUGCAUCACUCAAAGAUGAUCCCGCGUUGUAUUAGCUAGUUGGUGAGGUAAAGGCUCACCAAGGCGAUGAUACAUAGCCGACCUGAGAGGGUGGUCGGCCACCUUGGGACUGAGACACGGCCCAAACUCCUACGGGAGGCAGCAGUAGUGAAUCGUCGGCAAUGGACGGAAGUCUGACCGAGCAACGCCGCGUGAGUGAAGAAGGUUGUCGGAUCGUAAAACUCUGUUGGUAGAGAAGAACGUUGGUGAGAGUGGAAAGCUCAUCAAGUGACGGUAACUACCCAGAAAGGGACGACUAACUACGUG